This 7712-nucleotide long non-coding RNA is filed under the name Nicotiana tabacum (common tobacco). RNAcentral's name for it is "long non-coding RNA (NTAB_LNC010139)". Lineage: Eukaryota; Viridiplantae; Streptophyta; Magnoliopsida; Solanales; Solanaceae. The record is from RNAcentral.
CAAAAAUCGGACCUCUCAUCUCUUUGCAUAGAGAGAACGACACAGCCAUAACCUGCACAAAACAAAGACCAAAAAGACAUGACAAUAAAAAAGAAAACAAAAGAAGAAUAGAGAGGAAUGGUAACAGAGAGACAGAGGGGAAGAAAAUUGAAAUCAAAACAGAAAAGAGGAAGAAGGGGAACAACCAAAAUUAAGAGAAGAUUUUCGGCUGAGGUCCGUCGACUGCUCGUAAGGUUCUUGAUUGUGGUUCCAAAUCCAUUUUAUCAUUGUUUUGUUUGUUUGCUACUGGACGCACGAAUUCCGGUGCCAGAUUUCUUAUUGUAUAUUCAAAGGCGAAAGUUAAUCAAAGUUAUAAUUUCAGGUUCAUCUCUUUCUUCCCUUUUCUUUCACGUCUGGAAUUAUGGUCGUUCUGAGAUGAAGUUUCACGCCUUCAUAUUCUGCAUAAAAUUAAUUGAAAUAAAUUUUUGAUUUAACUUUCCUAAUACGAAUAAGUGUGUGUUUCUGAGUGAUUCUAGAUUUUGUUCCCUACCAUGUUGAAUAUGUUUCAUACUACGUUGGGUUGUAUUGUUAUUUUAGUAAAUGCUCGUUUUUGGUUGGUCCGUUGUCUUGAUUUUGUGACAAUUUUCCUUUCUGUUUCAUUAUUCUUUUGGUAUUUUAAUUUAUCCCAAAAAUACUUUAACGAAUGUUUGAGGUUGUGAAUUUACGUAUUUAUGUUGAUGGACUUCUUUUAACUCAUGAGUUAUAUUAAUUUUAGUGAUUGUAGUUAAGUUUUAGUAAAGAAAGAGCUUUAGGAAGUAAUUGACUUAGACUCUUUAGGAGACCUUUCCUUCGUAAAUACUGCAGUACGUUGGAAUCUAUCAAAUUAGUCUUAAUACAUCAAAUUUCGUCCAAGUUUAAACUCCAUAAUUUCAUAAAUACCGGCCUUACAACAAUCCCAAAUUAGUUUAGGGUGAUAAUUAUGAAUGUCAUAGUUUGCUUCAGGCGCGAUUAAUAAAUUAUCGUGACCAUGGGUACGGUUCCCGUGGCAUGGUCGCGAUACAUAAAUCUCAUUCGAGUGCGUUUCACGUGACUCGACCUUAUAAUUUCAAACAAUAAUAAGUUAAACAUGUUGUAAAUCGCGGGUGCAUUUCAUGUGAUGCGGUUUGCAAUAUAUACCAAAACAACAAGUGUACGACAUCGUGCCUUGUUCCAGAAAAUAAUUCCAUAAACAUUAAAAGAGGCGAAAAGGUUAAAAAUGCACAAUAAGUUUAAUUAUAUAUUAAAUUAGAUAAUUAAGUCAAUUAUUAAUAAUUGAGCGACCGUGCUAAACUACGGAACCCGGGAAUGCCUAACACCUUCUCUCGGGUUAACAGAAUUUCUUACCCAGAUUUCUGUGUUUCACGGACUGUAAAACAGAGUCAAACUUCCUCGAGUCGGGAUUCUAAAUCGGUAACUUGGGACACCAUAAAUUAUCCUAAGUGGCGACUCUGAAAUUAAAUAAAUAAUCUCAUUUCGAUUAUUGUCACUUUACUUGGAAAAGCUCCAUAUUCCUCCUAGAAAAAGUAGGUGUGACAGCUCUGGUGACUCCGCUGGGGAAAAGAACCCAGAACCUCUGGUUCAGGGUUCAGAAUUCGAGCUUAGAAUAACUGUUAUAGUUGGCUUUUAUUUAUUAUCUGACUUUUACGUGUUUGAGCCUAAUGUGCUAAUAUCGCUUUUUACCGCUUUGAUAUUGCUUGGACUGUAUAUAAACUGUUACGAAACCCUCUUCUCUCUGAGUUUUCUAAAUCAUUUGGGAAGCGUGCACUUCGUAUGACUUCUUUUCUAUUAGAUUCAUAUCCCAAUUUUAGAACGAGGUUCGAAUAAGUUGCAAAGCCGGUGAAGCUUCUGUAUUCUCGGUACACUGCCCCCCUCGGCUCGAGUUGUCCGCUCGGGUAAGCCAUGUCUAGAAUAAUACACCCAGGUUUUAAACCUAGAAUAACAUAGCCUUAUGACGGAUCCCUAGUAGGAACGCUUGUUUGCAUCAUGUGCAUUUGACUUUGGGGACUCAAUAUAGGGGUUAGGUCUGUCUAGGACAAUUGUACCCAAACUAAAAGACCAUCCUGAUGCAUCUUACGUGCUACCUGUGUAUCUGUUUGUUUCGGCUUGCAUGUUGACUGGCUUCUAGAAUAGGGAAAGAAAAUGAAAAAAAAGAGAAAAAAAACAAGAGCGAGUAGUAGGUAUUUGAAAAAUUUUGAAACUCUACAAAAUUUUGAAAAAAAGAGAAAGAAAGUAAGUCAAUGUUUUCAAAAGUCAUGUUUCCUCUGUUCCGUCAAAACUGGCCGAACUACGCGUGUCUGAUUCUCACCGGAUGUAAGAUAUUUAGGCAAACCUCAUCGGUUCCGGCCCCCAAUUUUUAAAAAUCUAAAAAUAUUUUUCUUUACUUUCUUCUUUAGAAAAGCCUUCUUUUGAGACCCCAAUCUUUAAAAAAUCCAAAAAUAUUUUCUUUUACUUUCCUCUAAAAAUCCAAAAAUAUUUUUGAAAAUUGAAAAGAAAAUUCAAGAUUCAAAAAAAAAAUAAUAUUUUUUUAUUUAUAAGUCUUUCUUUCAUGAUUUUAUCAUAAAAGUCCAAAAAUUUGAAAACAUUUUCUUUAUUCUUUAGAAGUUUUUUUUACAAAAUGCCAAAAGAAAAAAAGGGAAAAACUCAAAAUUAAAAAACAAUCUUUCUUCUUUAUAAAUCUUUCUUUCGAAAAAAAAUCAAAAAAAUAAAAAAUAAAAAAAAGAGUUAGUUUAUUUACUUUAUUCCCGAUCUUCCCGAACUACGCAAAGAUUUGAUUCAUGCGGCGUCAUGAUACGUAUGCAACCUACAUAGAAUUCGAUCGAAUCGUUUUUUUUAAAUAGGAACAAAAAGAAAAAAAAAGAGAUGAAGUUAUGAGAUGUGAGAAAUGAGAGAAAAGAAAAAGAGAGGAAAGAAAACGAGCAAAUCAAGGAGCGCAAGAGAGAAAAUUAAGAAAAUAGGGGCAAGAGAAGUAAAAUUGGGAUGAUGCCAAGUUGACUUCCCACCCUCGAAGUCAUUUUAGAACCGAUAAUUAUGAUUAUGUGCAUUGCACAUAAUGUGAGAUUAUCUUAGGUUAAAUGCCCUAACGCCAAUGUGAUGAGUUUAUUUUGUUCCUCUUUGUUAUCUUUAUUGAGCAAAAGGGUGGUUGGUUUGUGGUUCUUAAGUUAACUCAUCCAUACAACACAAGGCCAAAGAGCAAGGUAGGCAAGCAUAAUGGUUUUAUGACAUUCCGAAAUAUUUUAUUAACGUAUUUCUCAUGCAUUGCAUUCACUUACAUGUGCAUUUACCCAUUACUCAGACAGCGUUAUAGACACGUAUAUAUGUAUAUAUAUGUAUAUGGGAUAUGAAAAAAGGUUACGACGUUAUAUACGUACUACCACCUGAUCAGCUUGUAUACGUUGAUGAUUUUACCCACAGUGGCACCAGAGGGCGUUAUAUAUGCGUAUAUAUGUAAAUAUAUGUAUACGGGAUAUGGGAAAAAGGUUACGGCGUUAUAUACGUACCACCACCUGAUCAGCUAGUAUACAUGAUGAUUUUGCCGACAAUGGCCGAGAUGAUAUGAUGGGAUGCCAUCAGAGUCUUGAUGACGUUAUGAACACACGUACCUAUGCACGACAUGACAUUCAUAAGCAUAUGCAUGACACUAUAAGUAUUACAUGAUUUACAGAGUUAUCCAGACUUAUAGGUUGAGUCCUUCACUCCAAGUUCCUUCAAUGUCUUAAAUUAAUGUUGAGUUAUUGUUAUGUUUCGGUUCUGCCUUACAUACUCAGUACAUUAUUCGUACUGACGUCCUUUUGUUGGGGACGCUGCAUUCAUGCCUGCAUGUUUAGAUAAUCAGUUGACGAGCCCUCAUAGUAGACGAGAUUGGCAUUCAACGAAGGAUCGGUAAGACUCCACCUCAUUCGGAGUGCAACCAAGUCUAUGAGUCAUCGUGUCAGAAUUUUGCUACAGAUUUACAGGUAUGCCGGUACCCUGUCCCAUUUGAUAUUAGUUAAUCUUAGAUGCUUUGUAGAUAGAAGUUCAGUUUGUACAGUAUGUUACAGGCCUUGAUAGCUCAUAUGUAUUCAUGUUUUAAGAAAAAUGAUUCAGGGAUACACUGUUUUCCCACUUACAAUUAUACAUUGCGAGUUGUAGCCAUGUUGGCCCAUGAUAGUUAUAAAAAGGAAUGAAUGAGUUACAGAGUGGUUCGCUCGGGCCACUACAACAUCGGGUGCCAGCCACGCCUCCCCAGGUCCGGGGCGUGACAGUAUCGGUCUGGGCCACACUCUCCGUAAGGCCCACCAGAAAACUGUUAUACAGAGGUAAAAUAUAAUACAAAAAAUUGAUUCUAAGAAAAUUUAAGCUUUUAUAAUGGAUAGUUGUUAUAUAGGAAUAUUUUUUUAGGGAUGCUUGUAGGGUUUGUAUUCAUAUUUUUUAUACAUGCACUUUUAACUCUUAUAGUUAAUGAAUAUUUAUUCUCAUAUUAAUUUAACAUAUAAUCAUAAUAAACUUAUGUAAUUCGAUAUAAACAUUAAUCAUUCAAAGUUCUAAUUCCUAUCUUAGAAAAAUUUUAUUUUGUGUCUCAUAUGCCAACUCAUACUUAUAUGAGGCUCUUUAUUAUUUGACAAGUGGACUCAUGUGUGAAGACCGAUAGGUUAUUUUAUUGUUUCACCCUUAAUUUAUGUAUUUCAAAACCUCUAAUAGCUUGGUUUAGCCUUCCUCGUUUUGCGCGUAUAAUCCAUGUCCUUUUUCCGCAAUUUUUUUUCCUGAGAAAAUUGAUGAAAAUGUAAAUCAUUCAUUAAAACUCAUUUGAGUUUACUACGAUCAAUGUUUUAUAUAAACGGAUCCGGAUUAAUAUUUUUGACAGUCCCGGUGGGUCCGUAUCGUAAUUUGAGUUGACUUCGGCCAAGUUAGGGACUUCUGAAUUCAAUUUUAUUUUAUUGUUUUACCCUUUAUUUCUGUAUUUUGAAACCUCUAAUAGCUUCGUUUACCCUUUCUCGAUUUGCGUGUGUAAUCCAUGUCCUUUUUCCGAAAAGUUUUUAUGAGAAAAUUGAUGAAAAUGUGAAAUCGUUCAUUAAAACUCAUUUAAGUUGACUACGGUCAAUGUUUUGUAUAAACGAAUCCGGAUUAAUAUUUUGACAAUCCCAGUGGGUCCACAUCGUAAUUUGAGACUUGGACAUAUGCCCGAAAUAUAAUUCGGAAGUCCCUAAAUUGAGUUAAUGUGAAUUGUUGAAAACUAUCAAUUUAAAUGUUUAAAGAAUUUUUAAGUUUGACCGAAGGUUGACUUUAUUUCUACCUAGUUCAUAUUUCGGUUCCGGAACUUGGUAUAGGUUCAUUUAAGUAUUUAUAACUUGUCUAUAAAAUUUGGUGCAAAACGGAGUUGAUUUAAUGUGAUUCAGACGUCUGGUUGUAAAUCUGCAUGUUUUUAAGUUUCUUUGAAAAUUUCAUUCAUUUUGGAAUUUGAUUCGUAGUUCUAAGUGUUAUUUUGGUAUUUUGAUAGCACAAGUGAGUUCGUAUGGUGUUAUUACAUUUGUGUGCAUGUUUGGUUUGGAGCCCCGAGGGUUCGGGUGAGUUUCAGACGUGUUUCGAAGAAUUCAUAGGAGAUCAGAUUUUUGUUGGUGCUCAGAUCUCACAUUUGCGAGAAAUUAGUCGUAUUUGCGACAGCCGCAGUUGCAAGCUUCAUGCUCACAUUUGCUAAGAGCACAGUGGCCUGAAGAGUUCGCAUUUGCGAACUCCCUAUCACAUUUGCGAUGAUGGCCUGGACUGGGUAUUGGCCGUAAUUGUGAUCACUGAGUUGCUUUUGCAGAGGGUCCAGGUUUGCAAUUGUGAACAAAUCAUUACAUUUGCACUGAAAGCAGAGAUGUGGGAUUGCUCGCAUUUUCGAUGGAUUCUUUACAUUCGCGAACCCCAUGUCACAUUUGCGACAUCUGCGCCUGGACAAAAAGCUGAGAAAACGGGAUUUAGCUCAUUUUUCACACUCUCAACUCUAAAUGCCCUAGAGGUGAUUUUUCCAAGUGAUCUUCUUCCUAAGUACAUUGGUAAGUGACUUUAAUCUACUUCCUUUUAAUUACCCAUUAUAUUUCAUAAGAUUUUAAUAUCAAAUCGAGGAUUCUCAUGGUAGAAAUUAGGAAUUUGGGUAAAAUUAGGGAUUUUUGUAAAUUUUGGGAUUCAGACCUCGAAUUGAUGUCGGGUUUCAAAACUAAUUACAUAACUGGGCUCGGGGUGAAUUGGUAACUGGGUUUUGGUUCGAAUCUCGAUUUUUGACCAAGCGGGUCUAGGGUUGACUUUUGUUGACUUUUAGGGAAAAGUAUAAAGAUCUUAUUUUUAUGUAUUAUAAUUGAUUUCCCUAUUAUUGUUUGUUGAUAUUAGAUCAAUUUUCAUUAGAUUCAGUUGGUUCGGAGGCGAAUUUUAGAGGAAAGGCCCCGGUUGAGCUUUGAUUUGCUUGCGGAGCGAGGUAAGUAUUGGGUCUAACCUUGAUUUGAGAGAAUUAGGACCACUUGAGCUAUGUGUUAUGUGAAUUACAUGUGUAGAGGCGUAUAUGCGAGGUGACGAGUAUAUAUACGUCAUCAAAAUAGUUAUAUCUAUGCUUGUCCGUAUUUCAUUAAUUAUUUUAUUCUACGUCUUAAGUGUUACAUGCUUUAAUUGCUUUCUAUGCCUGAACUUGCUGCUUGUCAUUUAUUACUCUCGUAGUAAAAUGUUUGUUUCUUCCAUGCUUCUAUGAUUAAUUUCUACUUAUCUUAAUUGUCGUACUUGUACACUUUAAUAGCCAUAUAUUUGGCUUGUCUUGUUGAUUUGUACUAAUUGUAGCACUCCUUGAUUUGGUACGAGAUUCUUGUGAAUUGAGUUGUUGAAUUGAUUAUAUUUAUUGAUUUUUUAUGGAUCGGGUUGCACGCCGCAAUGAGUAAAAUAUGGGAGGAUUGAUAUUGAUAUGGUGGGAUCGGAUUGCACGUUGUAACGGAUUUUAUAUGUGAUUUUAAUAUGGCAAAAUAAGGGAGGAUUAUGAUAUUGAUUCUGAUUAUAUGGUGGGAUCAGGUUGUGUGCCACAACAGAUUUUAUAUUUUAUUCUUCAUAUUUAUAUGGUGAAAUAAGGGAGGGUUGUAUUUGUACGGUGGGAUCGGGUUGCGUGCCGCAACGAAUUGUGUAUUUUGUAUUCAUUGUUGCAUUGUGUUAGCUUUUGAUGUUUUCAUACGAGAUUCUGAGGACUGUUGUUUUUGGUUUUACUGAUUUCAAGGAUUGAGUUUAUUUUCACAAGUUAACUGCGUUACUUUUCCUGUAUUCCUUUCCUGUUAUUAUUAUUAUACAACGUGCAAGUUAUUAUAAAUGACUCACCAUAGCCUCGUCACUACUUCGUCGAGGUUAGGCUCGGCACUUAUAUAGUACAUGGGGUCGGUUGUACUUAUACUACACUUUGCACUUCUUGUGUAGAUUUUAGAGUCGGUCCAAGCGGCGAUCAGUAUAUUGCUCGGAUUGAUUGGAUGAUGGAGACUUGAGGUUUAGCUGCUCGAUGUUCGCAGCCCUGAAGUCCCCUUCUACAUUAUUCUAGCUGUUUAUUUCACUUCAGAUAGUUAUACUUUCAUUUAGAUAAUUAUUUGUAUUAUUCUAGUCGCUCGUGUACUUGUGACACUAGUUCAGGGAUUGUAUCUAGAUAUCGCUGUUGUUAUGAUUUUCUCACUUAAUUUCUUUCUUAUUCAUUUUCCUGGUUAUUAUUUAAUUUGAAUGGU